UAAAUUACCCUCAUUGAUUUAUUUAUUUAAUUUUUUAUUUAAUUUUGAUCGGCCCACAUUUAAGCAUACAAUAACACAAUAAUUACUUUAAAUACCUGAACUUAGCUCUCUCUCUCUCUCUCUCUCUCUAUAUAUAUANUUUAAGAAAAAUUAACAAAUAAUAGUUAAAAUGGUUUUAACACGAGGUUGUAACUUAAGAAAAUGGUUAUUCAAUAUUAUAAAUUUAAGUUUAUUCAAAAAAUAAAAAGGGGACGUCACAUCGUUUUUUAUCAUAACAAAAAGGGUAUAAGUAAAACAAAUGGCCCUACCACUAGUACUCAUCAAAAUUUUGACCAAUGACGAAUCAUGGGGGAGUUCAGAAAUUUCUGUCUCCGCCGCGGAAUCGCUGCUGAGCAUUGGCUUUGACUCCUCACAGUAAACAUAAAUUGGUGGAAGAGGAGACCAGAUGGUGGAGGAUUCUGGUCGGCAAUGUUUAUCUCUGUCGAAAUGUAACAACAAUUGAUGGCUGCCGGAGUUGGUAACGUUGUAGUAAGAGAAGAAGGCCAUGAAGAAAACUCGAAGAUUUUUAAAUAGCUGAUUCCUGUCCACUGAGUAUGGGUCCAUGGGACUUUUACAUCGUCAAGUUUCAGUUUUCAAUGUUUGGUAAACAAUUUUCAAUCUAUUAUCUUUUCGUUGAAACUUCUCAAGCAACUUGCAACUUUAGGGGCCACAAAAUUUGUGGUGGGCAUUAAUUUAAUCCAUAUCUUUUUACUGUAAACAAUAAUUGAAAUUCCAAUUCAUCAACAUCUCUUAAUAAUUGAAAUCAUUCUCUCGUUGCAUCCUUUCAUCCACAUCUCUACUAUAUUCUCUGCUCUUACCAUAAACAAUGGCUGAAAGCAUUCUUUCUGCCUUCUUGACAGUGGUCUUUGAAAAGCUGGCUUCUGAACCCUUGAAGAAGAUCGCUCGUUCAAAGGGAAUUGAUUCUGAGCUGAAGAAAUUGAAAAGGACAUUAGACCAGAUCCAAGAUCUUCUUAACGAUGCUUCUCAGAAGGAAAUAAAUAAUGAAGCUAUUAAAAGAUGGCUGAAUGGUCUCCAACAUUUGGCUUACGACAUUGACGACCUACUUGAUGACUUGGCAACCGAAGCUAUUCAUCGUGAGUUGACCCGGGAAUCUGGAGCCUCCACCAGCAUGGUAAGAAAGCUAAUCCCAAGUUGUUGCACAAUUCUCCCACUAAAUAGUAGGAUGCAUGCCAAGUUAGAUGAUAUCGCCACAAAGUUACAAGAACUGGUAGAGGCAAAAAAUAAUCUUGGUUUGAGUGUGAUUACAAAUGAAAAGCCAAAAAUUGAAAGAUAUGAGACGUCUUUGGUGGGUGCAAGUCGUAUUGUUGGACGUGAAGGUGAUAAGAAUAAAUUGCUUCAGAAGCUGUUGGGGGAUAAAGAUGAAUCAGGGAGUCAAAACUUCAGCAUCGUUCCCAUAGUUGGUAUGGGUGGGGUAGGCAAAACAACUCUAGCUAGACUCUUGUAUGACGAAAAGGAAGUGAAUGAUCACUUUGAACUAAAGGCUUGGGUUUGUGUUUCUGAUGAGUUCAGUGUUCCCAACAUAAGCAGAGUUAUUUAUCAAUCUGUAACCGGGGAAAACAAGGAAUUUGCAGAUUUAAAUCUGCUUCAAGAAGCUCUUAAAGAGAAACUUCAGAACAAACUAUUUCUAAUAGUGUUAGAUGAUGUAUGGUCUGAAAGCUAUAAUGAUUGGGAUAAAUUAGUGGGCCCAUUUCUUGUAGGGUCUCCUGGAAGUAGAAUUAUCAUGACAACUCGGAAGGAGCAAUUGCUUAGAAAGCUGGGUUUCUCUCAUCAUGAUUGUUUGCAGGGUCUGUCACAUGACGAUGCAUUGUCAUUAUUUGCUCAACAUGCAUUGGGUGUAGAUAACUUUGAUUCACAUCCAACACUUGGACCAUAUGGUGAAGGGUUUGUGAAAAAAUGUGAUGGCUUGCCUUUGGCUUUACAAACACUUGGGAGGUUAUUGAGGACAAAAACAGAUGAGGAAGAAUGGAAGGAGCUAUUGGGUAGUGAAAUAUGGAGGUUGGAAAAUGGAGAUAAUAUUCUUCUGGCUCUUAGACUAAGCUAUAAUGAUCUUUCUGCCACUUUGAAGCUGUUGUUUGCAUAUUGCUCCUUGUUCCCCAAGGACUAUGUGUUCGAUAAGGAGGAGUUGAUUUUGUUGUGGAUGGCAGAAGGGUUUUUGCAACACUCUACUACAAACAAGUCCAUGGAACGCUUGGGACUCGAAUAUUUUGAAGAGCUGUUGUCGAGGUCCUUUUUUCAACAAUCUUCCAAUGAUGAAUCUUUGUUUGUGAUGCAUGACCUUAUGAAUGACUUGGCCAUGUCUGUUGCUGGAGAUUUUUUUUCAAGGUUAGACAUUAGGAUGAAGAAGGAAUAUAGGAAGGAAUCUUUGGAAAUUCACCGCCAUAUGUCAUUUGUUUGUGAGAAUUACAUGAGUAACAAAAGGUUCGAGCCAUUCAAGGGAGCUAAAAGUUUAAGAACAUUCUUAGCGUUAUCUGUUGGGGUGGUAGAAAGUUGGGAUGUAUUUUACUUAUCAAAUAAGGUCUUGAAUGACUUACUUCAUGAGUUACCAUUGUUAAGGGUCCUAAGUUUGAGCAAUCUUAACAUAUGGUGGGUACCUGAAUUCAUUGGUAGUUUGAAGCACUUGCGGUAUCUUAAUUUAUCUUGAACUUGGAUCACACAUUUACCGGACAAUGUCUGCAAUCUUUAUAAUUUACAAACCCUGAAUGUUUCUUGCUGUCAUAAUUUAAUUAAAUUACCAAAAAGCUUCUCAAAGCUUCAAAAUCUACAGCAUUUUGACUGUAGGGACACUCCACUUUUGAAGAAGAUGCCCUUAGGGAUUGGUGAGUUGAAAAGCCUACGCACUCUCACCAAGAUCAUUGUUGGAAUGGAGAACCAUUUUGCAUUAACAGACCUUAAAAAAUUGAAAAAUCUCCAUGGGAAAAUUUCCAUUCUGGAGCUUGGCAACGUGCAAAAUGCAAUGAAUGCAAAUGAGGCGAACUUAUCCCAAAAUCGAUUCAGUGAGUUAGAGUUGGAUUGGGGUAAUGUGUUUAAUUCAUUUAGAACGGAAACAAAUGAAAAGGAGGUGCUAAGUGAGUUAAAGCCUCAUACUGACACUUUAAAAAAGCUUGAUAUCAGGUUUUAUAGAGGUAUAGAGUUUCCAAAUUGGGUUGGAGAUCCCUCGUUUCUUUGGUUGACUCGUGUGUCAAUACGUAACUGUGUAACAUGUACAUCUCUACCAUCACUCGGGCAACUACCAUCACUUAAGGAGUUGAUUAUUGAAGGCAUGGAUGAGGUGAAAAUUGUGGGUUUGGAGUUUCUUGGGACUUCUAGUCCUGCAUUCCCUUCACUUGAAAUUCUACGUUUUGUUGAUAUGAAGGGGUGGGAGGUAUGGUCAGCAGAAAGUGGUGGGGUUGGACUUGCUACGUUUCCAUCCCUUCAAGAGCUUACUAUACAAAGUUGUCCUAAUCUAUAUCAAGUAUCACUUGGAGCAAUACCUUCACUGAGGGUUCUAUACCUAACACAAUGUGGUCAUGGUGUGUUGACAACUCUGGUUCAUGUAGCUUCAUCUAUCACUAUGUUGGAAAUACGUGGCAUUUCAGGGCUUACAGAUCAACUGUGGAGAGGUGUUACAAAGUAUCUUGGGGCAGUAGAAGAAAUAAGCAUCGAUAAGUGUGAUGAAAUAAGAUACUUGUGGGAAUCUGAAUCAGAGGCAAGUAAGGUUCUUGUGAAUUUAAGGACAUUGCAUGUAUCGUCUUGUUCAAAUUUGGUGAGUUUAGGAGAGAAAGAAGAGGAUAAUUGUGGGAGCUACCUAACAUCUCUUAGGACAUUACUUGUAUACUAUUGUAACAGCUUAGAGCAUUGCAAUUUUCCAGAUAAUGUGGAGGAUUUGCAUAUUCGGUAUUGUGAUUCAAUUACAUUUGUCUCCUUCCUAACAGGAAGGUGGCAGAAGCUCAAGACACUUUCCAUUGCUGGUUGUAAGGAACUACCAGAAAAGGAGUUGCGAGGAGGAGAAUGUUCCUUCAUUCACCUCACCAGAUUGAUAAUAGAAGAAUGUUCAAAUAUGGAGUCAUUUCCUGACCUUGAGUUACCGAAUCUCACCUCGUUAACAGAUCUGACAAUUCAAAAGUGUACAAGUAUGGAUGCUUCCUUCCCUCAUGGGCUUUGGCCUCCGAAAUUGUGUCGCCUUGAAAUAGGAGGUUUGAAGAAGCCCAUCUCAGAGUGGGGCCCACAUAAUUUUCCAACAUCACUUGUUGACCUAAUAUUAUAUGGUGGACCAUUUGAUGAUGCUAAAAAUUUCGAUCAAUUGUCCCACAUUCUUCCUUCGUCUCUUACUUCUCUUCGAAUACAAAAUUUUAGGAAACUGGAAUUGGUUUCUACGGGACUCCAACACCUCACCUCCCUCCAACGUCUCUUCAUCUUCACCUGCCCAAAGACGAAAGAUCUUCCAGAAAAGUUGUUGCCUUCACUUCUGAUAUUGUGGAUAUUUGGAUGCCGAAAUUUGAAAGAAAGGAUUAGUAGAGGAGGCUCUUAUUGGCCCCACAUCUCCCUUAUCCCCUGCUUCAACAUACACUAGUAAUUACAACUUUAUUGU
This 4627-nucleotide long non-coding RNA is filed under the name Lactuca sativa (garden lettuce). RNAcentral's name for it is "long non-coding RNA (LSAT_LNC002927)". The record is from RNAcentral. Lineage: Eukaryota; Viridiplantae; Streptophyta; Magnoliopsida; Asterales; Asteraceae.